This is a long non-coding RNA of Pseudopipra pipra, 463 nucleotides long. RefSeq lists it as uncharacterized. NCBI's taxonomy places the organism in Eukaryota, Metazoa, Chordata, Aves, Passeriformes, Pipridae. The record is from RefSeq and is a predicted model, not a curated record. The transcript is spliced from 3 exons.
CAGUCCCAUCGCUUCUACACCCCAAUGCCCAUCCUGUGGGAUCCCCAAUUCCCCCCACUUCACCCACUUUGGGUCCCCUCCUCCUCCCCCCCACCCUCCUGCAGGCCCUGAAUUCCCCUGGCUCUCCUUGUCUCCAUCCCCACCCUGGGCCCUGCAGGAACAGGGAUCCCAGGGGAAACUGGGUGCAGUGGGGCUGGGGGAGCAGAAGGGAUUUUCCCCCUCAGACCGGGGCCAACCAUGGGCUGGGGGCUCUGGGGACACCCGUGUCCCUCCCCCAGCCCCACAGGGGCCAAUCCUGCUUAAACCUUUGCUCUCCUUCCCCAGCCAAUUGCAGGACAAGGAGGAGGUGGAUGUGUUGGGGGAGGCAUGGAUGUCCAUCGAGUGAAGAGGUCUGAGCCCCCUGUGGCUGACCAGGUGGAGAUGCUGCGCGAGUGACGCUCGGCUGCCUCUCUGCAUGUCCAGG